AUUGAACGCUAGCGGGAUGCCUUACACAUGCAAGUCGAACGGCGUGUCGAACGGGUGAGUAAUGUAUCGGAACGUGCCCAGUAGCGGGGGAUCCCUACGCGAAAGCGUAGCUAAUACCGCAUACUUUUGGGGCGGCCGCGAUGGGAUUUGCUAGGUGGGGGGGUAACGGCUCACCAAGUCGACGAUCCGUAGCUGGUUUGAGAGGGCGACCAGCCACACUGGGACUGAGACACGGCCCAGACUCCUACGGGAGGCAGCAGUGGGGAAUGUUGGACAAGGGGGGAAACCCUGAUCCAGCCAGGCCGCGUGUGCGAUGAAGGCCUUCGGGUUGUAAAGCACUUUUGGCAGGAAAGCGGUACCUGCAGAAUAAGCACCGGCUAACUACGUGCCAGCAGCCGCGGUAAUUC
This 407-nucleotide ribosomal RNA is filed under the name uncultured bacterium. Its description in RNAcentral is "partial 16S ribosomal RNA". It matches the Rfam family "Bacterial small subunit ribosomal RNA", at positions 30 to 526 of the family's 1533-position model. The record is from RNAcentral.